Pelobates cultripes (western spadefoot toad) is the source of this 283-nucleotide non-coding RNA. Lineage: Eukaryota; Metazoa; Chordata; Amphibia; Anura; Pelobatidae. The record is from the annotation of a GenBank genome assembly.
CUGGUGUUCAGAAACAAAACAACGUAGAUAUUGCUCAAUUUUUUGGUUAGUGCGUUCGGCUGCUCCGUUAGAUUGAGGAUGAUAGGCCGAAGAAAAAUUCAGUUUGAUGCCCAACUGUGAACAGAAGGAUCUCCAAAAACGGGAAAUAAAUUGGGAACCCCUGUCUGACACAAUCUCAUUGGGAAUACCAUGUAAACGGAAAAUUUCUCUAGCAAAUAUCACGGCCAGUUCGGGGGAGGACGGAAGUUUAGGCAAGGGAACGAAAUGAGCCAUUUUAGUAAAC